UUAUCAUGUUUUAUCUUGUUUUAUACAUUUGUAUUGAUUUCAGAUGCUUUGUUGGUUCUAAUGAUAGUCGGCAACUAGAAUGUCAUGUCUAUUAUUAUUAUUAAUAUAUAGGUUAUUAUUACAGCAUUCAUGUAAUGUAUAUUAUGUAAUACUAUAUAUUAUUUUGUAUUCUUUUCAGUUACCAAUACCAAUCUGGAAAAGAAUCGCGGUUCGAUAUUCUGUAAAUUCUGUAACUCAUUAAAGAACCCCUGAUUAGAAAGAGAACAAAUCUUGUUGUUGAUAAACCCACGAGAUACAAAUGGCGCCCAACGGGUUGAAAUAGGAUUAGAGGCAUGUAGUGUGGAGCCGGUCGUGUCGUAGAGGAGCGGGUCGUUUUAGUCCUGUCGUAGAGGAGCCGGUCGUGUCGUUCAGGAGCGUGUCGUGGAGGAGCGGGUCAUUCUGGUCGUGGAGGAGAGGAACGUGUCGUUCCGAUCUUAUUGUAGAGGAGCUGGUGGUGUCGUGAACAUUCUUCAACUUCUUCAGACAUUAUUCCAGUGUACAAUUUCUGAUUUGGACAUACCAGAAAUAUUGUAAUAGAUAAUAGUGACCUUAUAUCAGUUCUAAUUUAAAAAAUCAUUCUAGUUGCUGCCGAAUUGUGUAUUGUUCCUGUCUACUGAGUCAAACGCACAACUAAAGAAGUCGUGAUUGAGAGACUGUGAGAGGUAUUCGAUUCCCUAAAUCGUUACCAAUACCAAUCUGGAAAAGAAUCACGGUUCGAUAUUCUGUAAAUUCUGUAACUCAUUAAAGAACCCCUGAUUAGAAAGAGA
This is a long non-coding RNA of Dreissena polymorpha, 806 nucleotides long. RefSeq lists it as uncharacterized. The transcript has 3 exons. Lineage: Eukaryota; Metazoa; Mollusca; Bivalvia; Myida; Dreissenidae. The record is from RefSeq and is a predicted model, not a curated record.